CCCAUUCAAACUCUACAUUAUGAAGCAAGAUGAUCAUAAUAUGUGAUUUUUAGCUUGUAUAUAUCAGUUUGUGGUGCAUCGGAAACUGUAUUUUUUACACAAAAAGAGUACAAACUAGAGCACAUUUCACGGAAUCUAGAUGACUAUGUUGAAUUUGGCACCAUAAAGGUGGAGGUCUAAGAAAAAAUCAUAGUUGAGGGGGGUAGAUGUAAUUAUCCAAACAAGAGGGGGGUUUUUAUAAUUUAACCAUACCUCAGGGGGGUAUUUGUAAUUUACCCUAUUUUCUAUUUUUCUGUAUGAACUCUUUUGUUGAAGGGCAUACAAGAAAUUUCAAUUAUACUACUACUUUAUUGUUUGUCGUCUAAUAAUUGCAAGUUCAACUCAAAUUAUUAAUCUUGUAUUAAUUUAUGGAUGGCCAUGGGGCGGGUUUGGGGCGGGUUUUGCAUUCCCCGCACCCGUCCGGUUAACAAACCCGUUCAACCCGCACCCGCCCCGCUUCGCAGCGGGUACAAAUUUUCUCAAACCGCACCCGCCCCAUAGAAAAUCUGCGGAUACCCGCCCCGCCAAAAAACCCGUAAAUGUGAAGAAAAAAGUAAAAAUAAAAAAUUUAAAUAACCCAAAAUGAAAGCAAUAAUUCUAAAUCAAAAUAUCAAAUGUAUUAUAAAAUUUUAUAUAUAUAUAUCAGUGUUCUAAAAAUCGGCCGAGGCGGCCGAUUAAUCGGUCGCCGAGGCGGAGGCGGUCCAAAACCUUUACGAUUUUAGUGUAAAGGUUUGAAAAAUCGGUUUUUUGCCUGUGAGGCGGUUUGAGGCGGUCUGAGGCGGUGCGAGGCGGUCAAACCUUUAAGGCGGGUCAAACUUCGGUGGCAAAAAUCGGCAAAAAAUUGGUCAAAAAUCGGUUUUUUUUUUUUUUUUAUAAAUCAAAAUAAAAGUUGGGAUUUUAAUAAAAAAAAAAAGGAGUUUAUGCUUUAUUUUGUUUAUGUUAAUUAUUAUUGUUAAAGAACUAAUGAUGUAUGCCAAGAAUGUAUAUAAAUUAAAAAAAAAUUGCCUUUUUAUUUAUAUUUUAUAAGGAUAUUUAUGUAUUAUGAUCUUAUUAUUAUUAAACUUUUAUUAUGUUAUUAGAAUAUAUACAUGAUGGAGAUGUAACUAUGUUUAAAUAUUUUUUAUCUACGUUUUGAGUAUUUAUAAAUAAUAUCUACAAAUAUAUUAUAUUAAAUUUUAAAAACCGAUUUAUUUCCGAUAUAUCACCGAUUAAUCACCGCCGCACCGAUUAAUCGUGAAUCGGUGCCUGACCGACUCGGACCCGAUUACCAUUUUUUACAACCUUGAUAUAUAUAUAUAUAUAUAUAUAUAUAUAUAUAUAUAUAUAUAUAUAUAUAUAUAUAUAUAUAUAUAUAUAUAUGCGGGCGGGUACGGGGCGGGUAUAUACAAACCCGCACCCGCCCCGAACCCGUUUUCGGGUGAAAAAUUAGAACCCGUACCCGCCCCAUUUAUUUGCGGUGUGUCUGUAUAUAGGGAGAAAAAAGAUAUAUAUAUAAUUAAUAUAUAUAUAUAUAUAUAUAUNNNNNNNNNNNNNNNNNNNNNNNNNNNNNNNNNNNNNNNNNNNNNNNNNNNNNNNNNNNNNNNNNNNNNNNNNNNNNNNNNNNNNNNNNNNNNNNNNNNNUACUUCAUUUAUGGUUUCUUUUAUAUUUGAUUAAUUGAAUUACUGAACAUUAUUUGAUGAUACUUUUAGGUAGAUUUAUUUUGUAUAAAAUUAAAGGCCUAGAUAUUAUAUCCAUUUUAACUUUAUUAAUAUUUUUUUGGGUUACUUUCACUCGUUAGAUAGUGUAAUUACAGACUCCUCCCCUCUUAGUCAACAAAUUGCAUAUACCUCCCCUCUUAGAUAGUUUCGCUAAUAAUGACUAACAAAGCAUGUGAAAUGUCAUUUUUACCCUCACUUUUUACAAUUAGAAAUAAAAUUAAUUUGGCCAAAAAUAGAGGAAAAUAGACAAAUUGGGAUUACUUAUUGGAAAUAUUGAGAAAUUAGAAUUGACACCCCCUCUAACAACUAUGAUGAAUUGUAAAGGUGUUCCGGUUCGUAAAAAGUUCGAAUAGUCAAUUUUAGUCAAAAAGGUAAAAUAGAAAGUUCAUGUCAAUUUUUUUAUGACGUCAUCAGUUUCCAUCCAAAAAAUGGAUGGAUGACCAACGGAGUAAGUAGAAACAUCUAAUAGGGGAGGUAUGGACAAUUUGGUUUACUAGGAUAGGGUGAGUCUGCAAAUUCACUAUCUAAGGGGGGUCCAAACGAAGUUAACCCUUGAUUUUUUUUUUCUUGUCAAGCACACACAUGGACUAUGCCCAUAAUAACCAGUGUUCUAAAAAUCAAUUGAGACGGCCGAUUAAUCGGUCUUCAAGGUGGAGGCGGUCUAAAAGCUUUACGAUUUUAAUUUGGUGUAAAUGUGUGAUGAUUUAUGUUUUGUUUUAUUUUACUUAUGUUAAUUUUAGUUUUAAAGAAUCUAAUAAUAUAUGAUCGUAGUUUUGAAGUAUAAUUUUGAAUGCACAAAAUUUUUAUUUUAUUUUUAUUUUGUAAGAAUUUUAAUCAUAUUACAAUCUUAUUAUUAUUAAAAUUUUAUUAUGUGUUAUGAUAUGUAAAUGAUGUUAAUAAAAUUAUGUUUGAAUAUAUUAUUAUAUAUGUUUUGAGUAUUUAUAAUUAAUAACUAAAAUUAUAUUAUAUUAAAUUUAAAAAACCGAUUUAUUUCUGAUCUUCGGUGCCUAACCGCCUCGGACCGAAUUCCCACCUUUUACAAUCUUGAUAAUAACAAUACUUAAAUUUCACAUUGCUAAUUCACAAACACAAAAAUACAAUACAUAAUUGGAGGCACACUACAAGAGGAUGUCUCCUUUAUUAUCUUUCUUGCACAAUAAUUAACAACUUUAAUUUAAUUAAUAUGAAAACCCACACGUGAGGAAUCUUAGAGUACAUUCCCAAAUAUAUCUUGUAAUAAUAAUAAUUGCUGUAAUAAUUAAGUAGAAACCCCACCACACAACUUUGUUCUUCAAUUAUUACAGCUCCAACACCAAAUCUACAAGGUCAAACAAAGCCAAUAAUAAUAAUAAUAAUAAUUCAUGCUGGUCAGUAAUUUAAAUAAAAAAAAAAAAUUAUGCAUGUAAAUAUUGAAAGAAAAUCACGGCUUAAUCCCAAUUUGCAUCCUCGAAAUAAAUUAAUAGCACUUUGCACCUUCGAAACACAAUAUAUGAUGCAUAAUGCACCACCCCACAUGCGUUUUUAAGCUAAUAGAGAUUUUUAAUAUUUUUAGCGGUAUUUAAAAUUAUAUUUUUUAUUACAAAAAAAUAUUUUACGAAAAAAAAUUCCUUAAGCUAUUUCAUUAUCAAGUUAUCUAAAAAUCAUAUUUUCUUCCAAAUAUUUCUACAUACUAUUUCCACCAAUUACAAUAAAAGAUCUAUCAAUCGAAUAAUUUAGUGAUAAAAGUUUAUUUAAUUUUAUUUUGCAAGAAAAUAUAGUUUUUUUUCUUUUUUUAUUAUCCGGUGUAAAUUUUUUUUUUUCGCACUUUGUGCGCUCGAAAUUAGGUUAGAGGUUGAAAAAAAAAGUAACUAUUUAAUUUGUUAUUUGGCACCCUGAAAAAAAAAAAAACCCAAUAAAAAACGAAUUAUCCUUUAUUAUUCAAUUAAGGUUGCAUUGUGAAUAAGGGUGCAAAGUGUUAUUAUUAUUUUUCAAAGGUGCAAAGUGCCAAAAGGCUCCAUUUCAAGGGCGCAAAGUGGGAUUAAGCCGAAAAUCAUAAUUAAGCAUGCAACCGAGUUAUAAUUAAAUGACUCACAGUCGGAAUCGGUGUUGACCCAGAACUCGUUGGCGUUUUUGUUGAUGAUGGGAUGUUGAUCAGGGUAUAUUAUGAUAUCUUCAGCAGAGGAACUACGUCGUAUUGUGCCUCCACUGUAGUUAUUAUUACAACCCACCAGUGGUACUGACUCACUGUUCUUCAUCAUCUCAUCAUCAUUAAUAUUCUUCUUCUCCUUUUUAUUACAAGCUGAUUCCUCUGCCGUGUAGUUCUCUGGAUGCACUUUCCUGUUGAAUAUUUGCAGAAUCUGCAUUUUCCCACAAUUAUAAUUACAAUAAUAAUAAUAAUACUCAAAAUAAUAAUAAUUAAUAAUACUAAUACUAAUACUAAUAAGGGUAAAUUACAAACACCCCCCUGAGGUAUGGUCGAAUUACAAAAACACCCCUCUUGUUUGGAUAAUUACACCCACCCCCUCAACUCCUCAAAUUUAGUGGAAUCUUCGAGAUUAUAUGGAAUAUUAUCACUUUUGUACCCAUUUUAUCCCAUUCAAACUCUACAUUAUGAAGCAAGAUGAUCAUAAUAUGUGAUUUUUAGCUUGUAUAUAUCAGUUUGCUGUGCAUCGAAAACUGUAUUUUUUACACAAAACGAGUACAAACUAGAGCACGUUUCACGGAAUCUAGAUGACUAUGUAGAAUUUGGCACCAUAAAGGUGGAGGUCUAAGAAAAAAUCAUAGUUGAGGGGGUAGAUGUAAUUAUCCAAACAAGAGGGGGGUUUUUGUAAUUUGACCAUACCUCAGGG
RNAcentral lists this long non-coding RNA (4565 nucleotides) under Erythranthe guttata (spotted monkey flower). Its description in RNAcentral is "long non-coding RNA (EGUT_LNC001081)". Lineage: Eukaryota; Viridiplantae; Streptophyta; Magnoliopsida; Lamiales; Phrymaceae. The record is from RNAcentral.